Molecule: ribosomal RNA, 440 nt
Filed under: uncultured bacterium
Lineage: Bacteria
Description: partial 16S ribosomal RNA
Rfam family: Bacterial small subunit ribosomal RNA
Source: RNAcentral
CCUACGGGAGGCAGCAGUGGGGAAUAUUGCACAAUGGGGGAAACCCUGAUGCAGCGACGCCGCGUGAGUGAAGAAGUAUUUCGGUAUGUAAAGCUCUAUCAGCAGGGAAGAAAAUGACGGUACCUGACUAAGAAGCCCCGGCUAACUACGUGCCAGCAGCCGCGGUAAUACGUAGGGGGCAAGCGUUAUCCGGAUUUACUGGGUGUAAAGGGAGCGUAGACGGUAGAGCAAGUCUGAAGUGAAAGGCCGGGGCUGAACCCCGGAACUGCAUUGGAAACUGUGCAACUAGAGUGCAGGAGAGGUAAGUGGAAUUCCUAGUGUAGCGGUGAAAUGCGUAGAUAUUAGGAGGAACACCAGUGGCGAAGGCGGUUUACUGGACUGUAACUGACGUUGAGGCUCGAAAGCGUGGGGAGCAAACAGGAUUAGAUACCCUUGUAGUC